Long non-coding RNA from Corvus hawaiiensis (hawaiian crow), 645 nucleotides. RefSeq lists it as uncharacterized. The transcript has 3 exons. Lineage: Eukaryota; Metazoa; Chordata; Aves; Passeriformes; Corvidae. The record is from RefSeq and is a predicted model, not a curated record.
UGCAUGUUUUUUUGCUUUGUUUCUUUGCAGGUGCUGCCGCCGCCCUAGGCGUGCCAAGGAACAGAGGCGAGCAGGCAAGUUGGCAUUAAGGUGGGGCGACUAAUAGGCGGGCGGUAUGCGGCGGCGUGCCAAGCUUGUACCUUUUCACUUUGCAGGUCUUCUCCAGGCCACCUCCAGAGUCGGAUGAUUUGAGGUACCAUGAGCCGGUGUGGAGCCAAGUUUGGAAACAGUGUAAGAGACAGUCCAAAGAUCCCUCAUCUGCCUCAGGAUCAUUGCCGAGGACAGAGACUGAGCACAGGAGUCCUGGCCUGGCUGAGGUGUGAAGGACUGCGCUGAAGGGGAAAGGAAUGACCUGUCCUGUACACCUGUCUUGUACGUCUGUCCUGUACCCAUUUCCCAAAGCAACGGACCCCAUAACAACAGCUGUAGGUUUCCCAACCUCUUGGCCAGUUGCCCCUCACUUCUGAAAAGGACAUAAAGGGACUUUCUGAAAUAACCGCGUCUGAGAUCUCCCCACGGAAAGAAGACGAAUCUAUUGGCGGAAGACCAUGUGGACUUCGUCUCAUCUGUUGGUAGCUAUUGCCCCCCUCUUUUUCUUCCUCUCUGUGUUUCCUUCUCUCUCUCUCUCUUUCUCUCUUCUAUUGC